Homarus americanus (American lobster) is the source of this 474-nucleotide long non-coding RNA. RefSeq lists it as uncharacterized. The transcript has 3 exons. The record is from RefSeq and is a predicted model, not a curated record. NCBI's taxonomy places the organism in Eukaryota, Metazoa, Arthropoda, Malacostraca, Decapoda, Nephropidae.
UGUCAUUGGCGGUGGUGAAAGGUAAACAUUGAGGUCCACGCCGGAGUGAGUUCAGUGAUCCAGCCUGGAACGGGAGAGCGCGCUCGACCCUCCUCUUGCUGUCGAGUCCGGCGGGAUACUGACGACUUACUCUACCACUACCACCACCAGGCACUCCUCUGGAGGGGAGGGGGGGUGCCAGACGUGGGUGCCAGGCACUCAGACACAGCCGCUGUCGACGACGGGAAGAAGAGUGAAAAGUAGAUUGUACGUGGUGGACGGUGCCUCGGCUUGAUGGUGGUCCUUGCCUGCAGUUACUCGCGAGAAACACGACAGGAUUUUCUUCUCUGAAACAUGACCGUAACAGCAGGAGUCGUUGUUCAGGUCCUGCCUGUGACAGAUGAGACCAACUCGCCAGCUUCGUACACCUCAGCCUUCUGCCCGCCGGGGGAAAUGGAAUUAUGAUGGACCAAGGGAACGACGGGGGAAAUAGAG